RNAcentral lists this ribosomal RNA (253 nucleotides) under uncultured bacterium. RNAcentral's name for it is "partial 16S ribosomal RNA". It matches the Rfam family "Bacterial small subunit ribosomal RNA", at positions 524 to 776 of the family's 1533-position model. The record is from RNAcentral.
UACGUAUGGUGCAAGCGUUGUUCGGAAUCAUUGGGCGUAAAGGGUAUGUAGGCGGAUUUAUAAGUCAGAUGUGAAAACUGUGGGCUCAACCCACAGCCUGCAUUUGAUACUGUGGAUCUGGAGUUUGGGAGAGGGAAGCGGAAUUCCUGGUGUAGCGGUGAAAUGCGUAGAUAUCAGGAGGAACACCGGUGGCGAAAGCGGCUUCCUGGCCUAAAACUGACGCUGAGAUACGAAAGUGUGGGGAGUGAACGGG